RNAcentral lists this ribosomal RNA (372 nucleotides) under uncultured organism. RNAcentral describes it as "bacterial SSU rRNA". It matches the Rfam family "Bacterial small subunit ribosomal RNA", at positions 526 to 896 of the family's 1533-position model. The record is from RNAcentral.
CGUAGGGUGCGAGCGUUAAUCGGAAUUACUGGGCGUAAAGUGUGCGCAGGCGGCGAAGCAAGUCGAGUGUGAAAGCCCCGGGCUUAACUUGGGAAUUGCGCUCGAAACUACUUUGCUGGAGUGUGGCAGAGGAAGGUGGAAUUCCACGUGUAGCGGUGAAAUGCGUAGAGAUGUGGAGGAACACCAAUGGCGAAGGCAGCCUUCUGGGCCAACACUGACGCUCAUGCACGAAAGCGUGGGGAGCAAACAGGAUUAGAUACCCUGGUAGUCUACGCCCUAAACGAUGACGACUAGUUGUUGGAGGAGUUAAAUCCUUUAGUAACGCAGCUAACGCGCGAAGUCGUCCGCCUGGGGAGUACGGUCGCAAGAUUA